Molecule: ribosomal RNA, 477 nt
Filed under: uncultured bacterium
Lineage: Bacteria
Description: bacterial SSU rRNA
Rfam family: Bacterial small subunit ribosomal RNA
Source: RNAcentral
AUUAGAGUUUGAUCCUGGCUCAGAUUGAACGCUGGCGGCAGGCCUAACACAUGCAAGUCGAGCGGUAGAGAGAAAGUUGCUUCGCUUGAGAGCGGCGGACGGGUGAGUAAUGCCUAGGAAUCUGCCUGGUAGUGGGGGAUAACGUUCGGAAACGGACGCUAAUACCGCAUACGUCCUACGGGGAGAAAGCAGGGGACCUUCGGGCCUUGCGCUAUCAGAUGAGCCUAGGUCGGAUUAGCUAGUUGGGUGAGGUAAUGGCUCACCAAGGCGACGAUCCGUAACUGGUCUGAGAGGAUGAUCAGUCACACUGGAACUGAGACACGGUCCAGACUCCUACGGGGAGGCAGCAGUGGGGAAUAUUGGACAAUGGGCGAAAGCCUGAUCCAGCCAUGCCGCGUGUGUGAAGAAGGUCUUCGGAUUGUAGCACUUUAAGUUGGGAGGAAGGGCAGUUACCUAAUACGUGAUUGUUUUGACGUU